UAUAGUCUCUUGUCCAUGCUGUU
This 23-nucleotide unclassified non-coding RNA is filed under the name Mus musculus (house mouse). Its description in RNAcentral is "oocyte_clustered_small_RNA371". Lineage: Eukaryota; Metazoa; Chordata; Mammalia; Rodentia; Muridae. The record is from RNAcentral.